UUCCGGUUGAUCCCGCCGGAGGUCAUUGCUAUUGGAGUCCGAUUUAGCCAUGCUAGUCGCACGAGUUCAGACUCGUGGCGAAUAGCUCAGUAACACGUGGCCAAACUACCCUAUGGAUCGGCAUAACCUCGGGAAACUGAGGACAAUUCCGAAUACNGCUCGAUGCCUGGAACUGGCUCGAGCCCGAAACGCUACGGCGCCAUAGGAUGUGGCUGCGGCCGAUUAGGUAGACGGUGGGGUAACGGCCCACCGUGCCGAUAAUCGGUACGGGUCAUGAGAGUGAGAGCCCGGAGACGGUAUCUGAGACAAGAUACCGGGCCCUACGGGGCGCAGCAGGCGCGAAACCUUUACACUGCACGACAGUGCGAUAAGGGGACUCCAAGUGCGAGGGCAUACAGUCCUCGCUUUUCACUACCGUAAGGUGGUAGUGGAAUAAGUGCUGGGCAAGACCGAUGCCAGCCGCCGCGGUAAUACCGGCAGCACGAGUGAUGACCGCUAUUAUUGGGCCUAAAGCGUCCGUAGCCGGCCGAACAAGUCCGUCGGGAAAUCCGCACGCCUAACGUGUGGGCGUCCGGCGGAAACUGUUCGGCUUGGGACCGGAAGACUCGAGGGGUACGUCCGGGGUAGGAGUGAAAUCCCGUAAUCCUGGACGGACCACCGGUGGCGAAAGCGCCUCGAGAGGACGGAUCCGACGGUGAGGGACGAAAGCUAGGGUCACGAACCGGAUUAGAUACCCGGGUAGUCCUAGCCGUAAACGAUGUCUGCUAGGUGUGGCACAGGCUACGAGCCUGUGCUGUGCCGUANGGAAGCCGUGAGGCAAACCGCCUGGGNAAGUACGUCCGCAAGGAUGAAACUUNAAAGGAAUUNGGCGGGGGAGCACUACAACCGGAAGGAGCCUGCGGUUUNAAUUGGAAUUCAACNCCCGGGAANGGCGAAUUUCCANANNUGGAUAUCAAGCU
RNAcentral lists this ribosomal RNA (959 nucleotides) under uncultured archaeon. RNAcentral's name for it is "bacterial SSU rRNA". It matches the Rfam family "Archaeal small subunit ribosomal RNA", at positions 1 to 954 of the family's 1478-position model. The record is from RNAcentral.